This 440-nucleotide ribosomal RNA is filed under the name uncultured bacterium. Its description in RNAcentral is "partial 16S ribosomal RNA". It matches the Rfam family "Bacterial small subunit ribosomal RNA", at positions 338 to 795 of the family's 1533-position model. The record is from RNAcentral.
CCUACGGGAGGCUGCAGUGGGGGAUAUUGCACAAUGGGGGGAACCCUGAUCCAGCGACGCCGCGUGGGUGAAGAAGCGCCUCGGCGCGUAAAGCCCUGUCAGCAGGGAAGAAACUGACGGUACCUGAAGAAGAAGCGCCGGCUAACUACGUGCCAGCAGCCGCGGUAAUACGUAGGGGGCAAGCGUUAUCCGGAUUUACUGGGUGUAAAGGGGGCGGAGACGGGGUUGCAAGCCAGGAGUGAAAGGCCGGGGCCCAACCCCGGGACUGCUCUGGGAACUGGGUGGCUGGAGUGCAGGAGGGGCAGGCGGAAUUCGUGGUGUAGCGGUGAAAUGCAUAGAUAUCAGGAGGAACACCGGUGGCGAAGGCAGCAUGCUGGACUGCAACUGACGUUGAGGCCCGAAAGCGUGGGGAGCGAACAGGAUUAGAUACCCCAGUAGUC